RNAcentral lists this long non-coding RNA (201 nucleotides) under Homo sapiens (human). RNAcentral describes it as "non-protein coding MIR99AHG:102". The record is from RNAcentral. Lineage: Eukaryota; Metazoa; Chordata; Mammalia; Primates; Hominidae.
CUCUUUCUUAUGUUGAAUUAUGUCCAGAGGCAUAACUAGACUGAAGGUUUAGACUCCAUUCAUUCUCCUAUGUUUUUGUUCUUAACUGCAUUCUGCAGUCAAAUCAGGAGCUUUAGAAAAUACUGAUGCCUGGCUCUCAACCAGAGAGAACUGAACUGAAUUGGUCUGGUGAAUUCAUUAAAAGAGCUAACAACAAUGAAG